GAUGAACGCUAGCGGCAGGCUUAACACAUGCAAGUCGAGGGGUAUAGUUCUUCGGAAUUAGAGACCGGCGCACGGGUGCGUAACGCGUAUGCAAUCUACCUUUCACAGAGGGAUAGCCCCAGAGAAAUUUGGAUUAAUACCUCAUAGUAUAGCAGUUUCGCAUGAAACCACUAUUAAAGUCACAACGGUGAAAGAUGAGCAUGCGUCCCAUUAGCUAGUUGGUAAGGUAACGGCUUACCAAGGCAACGAUGGGGUAGGGUCCGUGAGAGGGAGAUCCCCCACACUGGUACUGAGACACGGACCAGACUCCUACGGGAGGCAGCAGUGAGGAAUAUUGGACAAUGGGCGCAAGCCUGAUCCAGCCAUGCCGCGUGCAGG
This 378-nucleotide ribosomal RNA is filed under the name uncultured bacterium. RNAcentral describes it as "bacterial SSU rRNA". It matches the Rfam family "Bacterial small subunit ribosomal RNA", at positions 28 to 407 of the family's 1533-position model. The record is from RNAcentral.